Molecule: long non-coding RNA, 619 nt
Filed under: Homo sapiens (human)
Lineage: Eukaryota; Metazoa; Chordata; Mammalia; Primates; Hominidae
Description: non-protein coding lnc-NICN1-2:2
Source: RNAcentral
GCAGAGGGCUGUAAGUGUGGUGGCCCGUCUGGGCUUUCGCCUGCAGGCAUUCCCCCCGGCCUUGUGUCGUCCACUUAGUUGCGCACAGGAGGUGCUCCGCAGGACACCGCUCUAUGACUUCCACCUGGCCCACGGCGGGAAAAUGGUGGCGUUUGCGGGUUGGAGUCUGCCAGUGCAGUACCGGGACAGUCACACUGACUCGCACCUGCACACACGCCAGCACUGCUCGCUCUUUGACGUGUCUCAUAUGCUGCAGGUGAGCCAGGGGAGCACACUGGCCAUCUGAUCAGGCCUUCCUCCCUGUUUACAGUGGUCCACUCCUUGGCUUUGUUUGCUGUGAACUGGAUUCCAAGGACAGCCUUCUCAGAAGAGCUAGAGGUCAUGGGGGUGUCAUGGAUAGGUCAAUGGCCCCAAGGAAAUGAGCUCAGAGGGUCUCAUCAUCUCAUCCUUCUAGCUUGCCCCCAUUAAAUGGUGUGCCUUAAUGUCCCGGGUUUUCCAGGGCUGACACCCACUCUCAUGUAUUGGGCUGGAUGUUGGUUUGAAAAGGGGUUAUUUCAGGAAGGUGCUAGGUCCUGUCCAGUUCCCUGGCAGUCCCCCCACACAGAGUGACUGGGGGAGG